CAACAACCACUCAACCUACCACCACUGAGUCAACAACCACUCAACCUACCACCACUGAGUCAACAACCGCAGAGUCUACCACCACCGCCCCCACUACAUUGGCGCCCGAUAUCUGUUCGUCGGAUGCUACCCUGAUUAAAGUCAGUUCAGGCACGGUGGCAGAGUACUAUGUCAGAGUGAAUCCCUGCACAGCUUUGUGUAGCAAUAAAUAUUCUACUGGCUUUUGGUCCACUGCACAGACCUACAGAGGUUGCUGUGGUAACAACAUAUGCUAUUGCACUUUAACCACCGAUCUUUACUCGAGUAGUUGCACCCUGAUUAACUGAUGAGAUAUGGAGAAGAAAAAUUGAAUGAAGU
This is a long non-coding RNA of Lingula anatina, 357 nucleotides long. The record is from RefSeq and is a predicted model, not a curated record. NCBI's taxonomy places the organism in Eukaryota, Metazoa, Brachiopoda, Lingulata, Lingulida, Lingulidae.